Molecule: ribosomal RNA, 495 nt
Filed under: Salmonella enterica
Lineage: Bacteria; Pseudomonadati; Pseudomonadota; Gammaproteobacteria; Enterobacterales; Enterobacteriaceae
Description: bacterial SSU rRNA
Rfam family: Bacterial small subunit ribosomal RNA
Source: RNAcentral
CAAAUGAAUUGACGGGGGCCCGCACAAGCGGUGGAGCAUGUGGUUUAAUUCGAUGCAACGCGAAGAACCUUACCUGGUCUUGACAUCCACAGAACUUUCCAGAGAUGGAUUGGUGCCUUCGGGAACUGUGAGACAGGUGCUGCAUGGCUGUCGUCAGCUCGUGUUGUGAAAUGUUGGGUUAAGUCCCGCAACGAGCGCAACCCUUAUCCUUUGUUGCCAGCGGUCCGGCCGGGAACUCAAAGGAGACUGCCAGUGAUAAACUGGAGGAAGGUGGGGAUGACGUCAAGUCAUCAUGGCCCUUACGACCAGGGCUACACACGUGCUACAAUGGCGCAUACAAAGAGAAGCGACCUCGCGAGAGCAAGCGGACCUCAUAAAGUGCGUCGUAGUCCGGAUUGGAGUCUGCAACUCGACUCCAUGAAGUCGGAAUCGCUAGUAAUCGUGGAUCAGAAUGCCACGGUGAAUACGUUCCCGGGCCUUGUACACACCGCCCGU